GUGGGGAAUUUUGCGCAAUGGGGGAAACCCUGACGCAGCAACGCCGCGUGGAGGAUGAAAUCCCUUGGGAUGUAAACUCCUUUCGAUAGGGAAGAUUAUGACGGUACCUAUAGAAGAAGCCCCGGCUAACUUCGUGCCAGCAGCCGCGGUAAUACGAGGGGGGCAAGCGUUGUUCGGAUUUAUUGGGCGUAAAGGGUGCGUAGGCGGUUUGGCAAGUCUUGUGUGAAAUCUUCGGGCUCAACCCGAAGCCUGCACAAGAAACUGCCGGGCUUGAGUAUGGGAGAGGUGAGUGGAAUUUCCGGUGUAGCGGUGAAAUGCGUAGAUAUCGGAAGGAACACCUGUGGCGAAAGCGGCUCACUGGACCAUAACUGACGCUGAGGCACGAAAGCUAGGGGAGCAAA
This 401-nucleotide ribosomal RNA is filed under the name uncultured bacterium. Its description in RNAcentral is "bacterial SSU rRNA". It matches the Rfam family "Bacterial small subunit ribosomal RNA", at positions 354 to 772 of the family's 1533-position model. The record is from RNAcentral.